UCCUGCCACUCCUCCCCAUCGUCCUCCGCGGCAGAGCUCGCGCCAGCACUGGAGAGGAAUAAUAACCCUUGGUCGGAGCGGCAGAACGCGCCGCCACUCGACGAGGAGCUUGCCAGCUCGUGCAGUAUCUCCGGGGGCACGAACAGAACCUCUAGAUCCCGGUGCUGCUGCAACGACGGCGGCGCCGUGUCAGGCCAGAGGAUGUCCGCUUCAUGGAAUUCGUCCAUGGCCGCCUUCCCUCCACCGGG
This 248-nucleotide long non-coding RNA is filed under the name Brachypodium distachyon (stiff brome). RNAcentral's name for it is "long non-coding RNA (BDIS_LNC002626)". The record is from RNAcentral. Lineage: Eukaryota; Viridiplantae; Streptophyta; Magnoliopsida; Poales; Poaceae.